Molecule: long non-coding RNA, 999 nt
Filed under: Marmota monax (woodchuck)
Lineage: Eukaryota; Metazoa; Chordata; Mammalia; Rodentia; Sciuridae
Source: RNAcentral
CAACUUCAGAAGUUGGGAAUGGAACUGAAGAAAUGAGAAAGAAGAAUCACAGGUUAACAAGGCCCAAGGCCACACAGACUUAAUGUAUGAUUUUGCCUGUCUGAAACCUCUAAAUUCAGCUUAUCUUGGGGUUCUCAGCAGUCUCUGGAAAAAUUGGCUUUCCACCCAAACUAACCAAAGAACAAAAUGAAAUCAGAAGGGCAAUUUGGAUUAACUUCUGAAGAUGGAACUUAAUAUACCAUCUUAUAAUAAGAUAUUAAGUUCACAGGUUCCAGGUAGAAACACCCAUAGUUUAAAGGUGGUUUGGCCAGUGUUUGCAAAGACCAGGCUUUGAACUCUGUGGCUAGUUUAAAAAUGGCAGCCCUGCCACCACAGAGGUCCCUCACCAGCAAAUGCUCAUAUUGUUCUCUACCUCACAUCUCUUCCAAGAACCUAAGAAACAAAAGAAAAACAGACAGUUUUGUCUUCCAAGAAGUGUUUAUGGUAAUUCAAUUCUACAAUUAUAAGGAUAAAAGAAGACAAGUUCUCACCAAAGCUCAAACUGGGCCACGCACAGUGGUGUACACAUCUGUAAUCCCAGCCACUCAGGAGGCUGAAGCAGGCUGAAGCAGGAAGAUCACAAGUUUAAGGCCAGUCUUGGCAACUUAGCAAGACCCUGUCUCAAAAAAAAAAAAAAAAACAGGGGUGGGGGAAUGGCCUAGGAAUAUAGCUCAGUAGUAGGGUACUCCUGGAUUCAAUCUCAAGUACUGCAAAAAAAAAUGGUUGGGGGGCUGGUUUCCUACAUUUAAUAAUGUAGGAAGAUGCUAGAUGAAAGAAAUCAGGAUGAAAAAUUGUGUAUGCAUGGUGUGUGUGUGUGUGUGUGUGUGUGUGUUGUGUAUAUGAAAACAACAGCAAUGAAAUACAUCAAACUGCUAAUAAUGGCUAUGACUGAGUACAAAAUUAUGAGAAAUAUCUGUCUUCUAUGUGUUACUUUUUAUUUUCUGAAUUUGAAACAAUGAG